Oncorhynchus keta (chum salmon) is the source of this 1980-nucleotide long non-coding RNA. RefSeq lists it as uncharacterized. The transcript is spliced from 7 exons. Lineage: Eukaryota; Metazoa; Chordata; Actinopteri; Salmoniformes; Salmonidae. The record is from RefSeq and is a predicted model, not a curated record.
GGAAUGACCGUACAGUCAGACAAAAGUCACGAUGGAGUCAGUCACUCUCCAGAGUGACUUUGUGGUUCUGGACACCAGGUACAUGAGGUAGUCAGUCACUCUCCAGGGUGACUUUGUGGUUCUGGUCACCAGGUACAUGAGGUAGUCAGUCACUAUCCAGGGUGACUUUGUGGUUCUGGUCACCAGGUACAUGAGGUAGUCAGUCACUAUCCAGGGUGACUUUGUGGUUCUGGUCACCAGGUACAUGAGGUAGUCAGUCACUCUCCAGGGUGACUGUGGUUCUGGUCACCAGGUACAUGAGGUAGUCAGUCACUCUCCAGAGUGGCUUUGUGGUUCUGGACACCAGGUACAUGAGGUAGUCAGUCACUCUCCAGGGUGACUUUGUGGUUCUGGUCACCAGGUACAUGAGGUAGUCAGUCACUAUCCAGGGUGACUUUGUGGUUCUGGUCACCAGGUACAUGAGGUAGUCAGUCACUAUCCAGGGUGACUUUGUGGUUCUGGUCACCAGGUACAUGAGGUAGUCAGUCACUAUCCAGGGUGACUUUGUGGUUCUGGUCACCAGGUACAUGAGGUAGUCAGUCACUCUCCAGAGUGACUUUGUGGUUCUGGUCACCAGGUACAUGAGGUAGUCAGUCACUCUCCAGGGUGACUGUGGUUCUGGACACCAGGUACAUGAGGUAGUCAGUCACUCUCCAGAGUGACUUUGUGGUUCUGGACGCUAGUCAGUCCCUCUCCAGAGUGACUGUGGUUCUGGUCACCAGGUACAUGAGGUAGUCAGUCACUCUCCAGGGUGACUGUGGUUCUGGUCACCAGGUACAUGAGGUAGUCAGUCACUAUCCAGGGUGACUUUGUGGUUCUGGUCACCAGGUACAUGAGGUAGUCAGUCACUCUCCAGGGUGACUGUGGUUCUGGACACCAGGUACAUGAGGUAGUCAGUCACUCUCCAGAGUGACUUUGUGGUUCUGGUCACCAGGUACAUGAGGUAGUCAGUCACUCUCCAGAGUGACUUUGUGGUUCUGGUCACCAGGUACAUGAGGUAGUCAGUCACUCUCCAGGGUGACUGUGGUUCUGGACACCAGGUACAUGAGGUAGUCAGUCACUCUCCAGAGUGACUUUGUGGUUCUGGACACCAGGUACAUGAGGUAGUCAGUCACUCUCCAGGGUGACUUUGUGGUUCUGGUCACCAGGUACAUGAGGUAGUCAGUCACUCUCCAGGGUGACUUUGUGGUUCUGGUCACCAGGUACAUGAGGUAGUCAGUCACUCUCCAGAGUGACUUUGUGGUUCUGGUCACCAGGUACAUGAGGUAGUCAGUCACUCUCCAGGGUGACUUUGUGGUUCUGGUCACCAGGUACAUGAGGUAGUCAGUCACUCUCCAGAGUGACUUUGUGGUUCUGGUCACCAGGUACAUGAGGUAGUCAGUCACUCUCCAGGGUGACUGUGGUUCUGGACACCAGGUACAUGAGGUAGUCAGUCACUCUCCAGAGUGACUUUGUGGUUCUGGACACCAGGUACAUGAGGUAGUCAGUCACUCUCCAGGGUGACUUUGUGGUUCUGGUCACCAGGUACAUGAGGUAGUCAGUCACUAUCCAGGGUGACUUUGUGGUUCUGGUCACCAGGUACAUGAGGUAGUCAGUCACUCUCCAGGGUGACUGUGGUUCUGGACACCAGGUACAUGAGGUAGUCAGUCACUCUCCAGAGUGACUUUGUGGUUCUGGUCACCAGGUACAUGAGGUAGUCAGUCACUCUCCAGGGUGACUGUGGUUCUGGACACCAGGUACAUGAGGUAGUCAGUCACUCUCCAGAUUGACUGUGGUUCUGGUCACCAGGUACAUGAGGUAGUCAGUCACUCUCCAGGGUGACUGUGGUUCUGGUGACUGUGGUUCUGGACACCAGGUAUGUUACUGCUGUGUGAAAGAGUAUAAAACAGUGUUGUGUUCAGGUCUGUUGGAGGAGUUCAGUAACUGGUUGACCAGGAGUCC